GCGACUUACUGUGGGGUGUAACGGGCUGCUGAGUUUGUGUGUCUUCUUGUUGCCAGGGCUCCCCUGCUCUGCUCUGCUCCGCUCCGCUCCGGCGCUGACGGUGGAAAGCGUCUCCCCUCCUAAUGAUGUCUGCGGCGCACAGCUAAUACCUCUCUGCCCCCACCUCCAGGGAGAAAGAGAAAGAGAGAGGGAGAGACUCACAAAUGGAGCAGUUUGCGAGCUACUCAUGCAAAAAUAUGACACCCAGGGCUCGGAGCAGGGCAAACAGACGCGGAAUUACAGGAGAAGUUCACUGACAGCACCGAUAAGGCGUGGGGAUGUCAAAGCACGUCAUGAGGUCAUGGAGGCUCAAGGAUUCAGAGAAAAGCUGCUCAGCUUGAAGGCAAGGAGUGACAGUCAGCUGACAGCAACCUGGAGGACAUCUCAGCUGUGGACAUUCCUUACACAUUCAAAGACACAAACAAAAGAUGGCCGCAACAAAAAGUGUUAGUAACUAAAAUGUUAUAAGUCUGACCUUAGACUUGCUGUCCUGAAAUGCAUAAAACCUACCCAUCAUAGAUUUUAUGCUGGGUUUUUAAUUUUCUCUCGUUAAAAACUAUAAAUAAAAACAAGAUAAAUAUUUUUGUUCUCCUUUCUGGACGGAUCGAAAGUUUAAUUGUCUCAGCAAUAACAUUUUUAUUGUAAGAUGUUACAGAGCUGCUUAGCACUCCAAGAAAAAAAAUUACACAAUAUCUCACUUGUGAAAAAAAUACUAAAGCUUACUAACCUUAUACUUUUUCCACACACUUGAAAAUGCAGCUUUUCCUUCAAGAUACAUUCAAAAUAAUCAAAUCUGUGCGACAUCCCUAUUAUCACUCAUUUGUACAGACCAAAAAA
Poecilia latipinna (sailfin molly) is the source of this 876-nucleotide long non-coding RNA. RefSeq lists it as uncharacterized. NCBI's taxonomy places the organism in Eukaryota, Metazoa, Chordata, Actinopteri, Cyprinodontiformes, Poeciliidae. The transcript has 2 exons. The record is from RefSeq and is a predicted model, not a curated record.